This 71-nucleotide transfer RNA is filed under the name Candidatus Daviesbacteria bacterium. RNAcentral describes it as "tRNA-Ala". It matches the Rfam family "tRNA". From Rfam's summary of the family: Transfer RNA (tRNA) molecules are approximately 80 nucleotides in length. Their secondary structure includes four short double-helical elements and three loops (D, anti-codon, and T loops). Lineage: Bacteria; Candidatus Daviesiibacteriota. The record is from RNAcentral.
GGGCCUAUGGUUCAACGGCAGAAUAGAGCAUUCGCAUUGCUCAGAUCCGGGUUCAAUUCCCGGUGGGUCCA